AUGCUUCAGCGGUUCCUCAUCGUCAUCAUCAUCAGGAAGAGUGAUAACGACAUUGGAUGGAGCUGGUUUGAGGUUGCUGCGUCCUCCAUCUCAUGGUCGUCAGCCUUGCCUGAGGUCUCAGAAGUAGCAGCACCUGAUAUGGUGGGGAUGGACACCUUCAUCUUUGGUAGGAGCUUGGUCGGCUUUGACGGGGCCACCUUGGAUUGCUUCGGCGCCUUUUCAGUCAGCGCCGGAGAAGUGGUCCGAGGACGUUUGGUCGACUGCGCGAAAGUCGCAACCCCCUUGCCACGUUCAGUCGCAGAGUCAUGGGCAAGUUUCGACCGCCUUUCUGAGCGCGGUGGAGCAACCUCCUCCUCCUCCUCUUCUUCGUCCUCCUCAUCGUCGUUGUCAUCAUCGUCAUCCUCAGCGGCAUCCGAGUCCCACUCCUCCUGGCUCUCGCCCCCGCUCGCUUCUCCCUCUUCAGUCGGAGCCUGUGCUCCAUUGGGCAUCGAGUACAGCUCGGUGAGGGCCUUGGUCGAGUGGAGGAAUCCUUCUGGCUCCACGGGGGUUAUCCUUGUUCCCAGUGACCGCGGCCACCCACCUUUCCACCGUGGCAUCGUCGACUGCUUCCGGGUGGAUCCGAGUCUCAUCUUCAGUUCCGCAGUACAACCACAUGCAAUGGCUCUGGAACUGAAGAGGCUGGAUACGCCGCCUAAGGAAAACUUCCAAGAGAUCCAUACCAGUUACUCCAUCUCGAACCAGCUGAACUACACGCUCCAUCAGCAUCUUCACGUCGGCUUUCUCCUCCGGAAUCACCUUCAGUGA
This 804-nucleotide ribosomal RNA is filed under the name Triticum aestivum (bread wheat). Its description in RNAcentral is "partial small subunit ribosomal RNA". Lineage: Eukaryota; Viridiplantae; Streptophyta; Magnoliopsida; Poales; Poaceae. The record is from RNAcentral.